GCCCCAGUGGUGAACUGGCUAUCAUAGCUGCUCGUCAAGCAGCAGUAGAGGGAUCGAAACCCUUCUGGGGCGCCA
RNAcentral lists this transfer RNA (75 nucleotides) under Chloroflexota bacterium. Its description in RNAcentral is "tRNA-Asp". It matches the Rfam family "tRNA". From Rfam's summary of the family: Transfer RNA (tRNA) molecules are approximately 80 nucleotides in length. Their secondary structure includes four short double-helical elements and three loops (D, anti-codon, and T loops). Lineage: Bacteria; Bacillati; Chloroflexota. The record is from RNAcentral.